This 500-nucleotide ribosomal RNA is filed under the name uncultured bacterium. Its description in RNAcentral is "partial 16S ribosomal RNA". It matches the Rfam family "Bacterial small subunit ribosomal RNA", at positions 29 to 523 of the family's 1533-position model. The record is from RNAcentral.
AUUGAACGCUGGCGGCACGCCUUACACAUGCAAGUCGAACGGCGGCACGGGAGCAAUCCUGGUGGCGAGUGGCGAACGGGUGAGUAAAGUAUCGGAACGUGCCCAGUCGUGGGGGAUAACGUAGCGAAAGUUACGCUAAUACCGCAUACGAUCUAUGGAUGAAAGCGGGGGAUCGCAAGACCUCGCGCGAUUGGAGAGGCCGAUAUCAGAGUAGGUAGUUGGUGGGGUAAAGGCUCACCAAGCCGACGAUCUGUAGCUGGUCUGCGAGGACGGCGAGCCACACUGGGACGAGGAGACGGCCCAGACGCCUACUGGAGGCAGCAGUGGGGAAUUUUGGACAAUGGGCGAAAGCCUGAUCCAGCCAUGCCGCGUGCAGGAUGAAGGCCUUCGGGUUGUAAACUGCUUUUGUACGGAACGAAAAGGUUUGGGCUAAUAAGCUGAGCUCAUGACGGUACCGUAAGAAUAAGCACCGGCUAACUACGUGCCAGCAGCCGCCGUAA